Molecule: small nucleolar RNA, 207 nt
Organism: Microtus oregoni (creeping vole)
Lineage: Eukaryota; Metazoa; Chordata; Mammalia; Rodentia; Cricetidae
Product: small nucleolar RNA U3
Exons: 1
Source: RefSeq, a predicted model, not a curated record
AAGACUAUACUUUCAGGGAUCAUUUCUGCAGUUUUGUAUAGUGAAGAUUCUCUGACUGUGUAGGGUAUCCUAGACCACAAGGACAAGUAGAAGUGUUCCCUUUAAAGCGUGCCGCUUGCUCUAGGUGCUGCUUUUCUGUAGCUGCCUCUUGUUAUUGAUGGUCCUUCUUCUCUUCCUUUGGUGGUGGGGGGAUGCAGUUUGAAUAGA